This is a long non-coding RNA of Neofelis nebulosa (Clouded leopard), 680 nucleotides long. RefSeq lists it as uncharacterized. The transcript has 2 exons. NCBI's taxonomy places the organism in Eukaryota, Metazoa, Chordata, Mammalia, Carnivora, Felidae. The record is from RefSeq and is a predicted model, not a curated record.
UCCGUCCGGGCCAAGUUUUCCAGACACUUGGGCAACUUCCUCGUCCCCGGGGUGAUUUGUCAGCUCCAGUGAGUAACUUGGAAGUGUCGCUCGGGGCAAGGGACGGGAGCUGUGAGCACUACAGAGUGCCCGAGACCGAGACAUUCUCCAAACAGUGCUGACAUUCUGUCGGCCCCAGAGAAGUGUAAACGCGGAGUGACGAAGCCGAAGCCGGCGGGGAGUGCGAGCGUCUGGGUACGUCUGCGCAUUCUGCGGCGUGGGAGGUGAAAGUUAUAGACCUGGCGGCUGCGAGUGGCGGGACCGUCCCAGCGACACGUUCAAGGACCCCCAACCGAAGGGCCUCCUGGAGCAGUGGGGACCUGGUCUCGGGCGAGGUGCGAGCGUGCAAAAAAAAAAAAAAAAAAAAAAAAAACCGCCCUUGGUGGAGCUUCACAAACACGUGGGAGCUGGAAAAGGCAGCUUCAGCCCCGUGUGUGUGCGCGCGCGGGACCUCACGUCACCCCACCAACUCUCACUUCUCCAAAGUUUCCCUUCAGUGGGGACUCCUGGGUGGCGUGCAGGACCACAGCCGCGCGUCCUGUAACUUGCCUUCAUUGUGUGGCCCUCUGGCCCCUGCUGUUCAAAAGAAAAACCAAAAACAAAAUCUCCUCCUAAUUAAAGAAACUUUAAUACCUUGUGGA